This 639-nucleotide ribosomal RNA is filed under the name uncultured Actinomycetes bacterium. RNAcentral describes it as "bacterial SSU rRNA". It matches the Rfam family "Bacterial small subunit ribosomal RNA", at positions 232 to 885 of the family's 1533-position model. The record is from RNAcentral. Lineage: Bacteria; Bacillati; Actinomycetota; Actinomycetes.
CGCGGCCUAUCAGCUUGUUGGUGGGGUAACGGCCUACCAAGGCAUCGACGGGUAGCUGGUCUGAGAGGAUGAUCAGCCACACUGGGACUGAGACACGGCCCAGACUCCUACGGGAGGCAGCAGUGGGGAAUCUUGCGCAAUGGGCGAAAGCCUGACGCAGCAACGCCGCGUGCGGGAAGAAGGCUCUCGGGUUGUAAACCGCUUUCAGAAGGAACGAAACUGACGGUACUUUCAGAAGAAGGUGCGGCCAACUACGUGCCAGCAGCCGCGGUGACACGUAGGCACCAAGCGUUGUCCGGAUUUAUUGGGCGUAAAGAGCUCGUAGGCGGUUCAGUAAGUCAGGUGUGAAAUCUUUGGGCUUAACCCAAAGCGUGCACUUGAUACUGCUGUGACUUGAGUUCGGUAGGGGAGUGGGGAAUUCCUAGUGUAGCGGUGAAAUGCGCAGAUAUUAGGAGGAACACCGGUGGCGAAGGCGCCACUCUGGGCCGAAACUGACGCUGAGGAGCGAAAGCGUGGGUAGCAAACAGGAUUAGAUGCCCUGGUAGUCCACGCCGUAAACGUUGGGCACUAGGUGUGGGUUUCAACCAACGGAAUCCGCGCCGUCGCUAACGCAUUAAGUGCCCCGCCUGGGGAGUACGG